CCAGGCCGCACCUUUAACAGCUAAGAAGUAACAGCUAGCAUUUCGUCAAAUACCUGCAUGCUCCUGAGCUGUGCCUUACCCUCUGUAGCUCAUGUGACUCUCUGAGGACUCCUGAAGUAACUCUUUGUGUGUCAAGUUGACAUAGACUAGCCAGCGCAUUCCAGAGCUUGUGCUUAACAAAAGUGGGAGGCUCUGGGUCGGUUGCCUGAGGACAGUUCCAUAAAGCAACCUACUCCAUGGCAUCUUCUUUGUGGCACCCCAAGCCAAGUACCGGAGUUUGGAAGUAGGAAAACAGGUGCAGCUUGGUAACAGUAUGUAGACACAUGGAAGUAGCCGGGCAACUGGCUAAUGGAUGGAGUCCUGCAAGUCUGAGGUGAGGAUGCCAGAAGUUCUGGGUUCUGCUGAGGGCUUGCUUCCUGGCUGCAGAUAGCUGCUGCCUUCUUGUCCUCAUCCCUCUGUGUCCUUGUGUGGCUUUUUCUUAAAGAGGGAUCUCUCUCUUUCUCUCUCCAUUCCUCCCCCACCCCAACCCUGCUUCAGUUCUUGAAGAAAAUGCCCUCAGUGACCUCAUAGGAAACUCAAUUAACUCCCAAAGGCCAUUUCCAAAUAGUAUCACACUAAGGGUCAGAGCAUCAACUCAUGAAUUUUAAGGGAACACAAAUGUUUGGUCCACAGCACAGGGGGAGGCCUGACCUGGGAAAGCAUGCAGUAUGUGGCAGGCACUUAUUCCUUCCUCCCGUCUUCUGUCUCUACUAUACGCCACAAACAACCAUUUUCUUUUCCAUCUUAAAAGGACUCCCCCUGUAUGCCAAAAUGCAUGAGUGACAUAGGAGCGGCUGAGCGCCGAUUCCUCCCGCAUCCUUGGAGACUUUCUUCAAAUUUCACUUGCUGCUAACUUACGAACAUUUCCCCACAUCAAUAAUAUUUCCCUAAAACUAUAUUUUCAGUCUCUUGAGAAGCCUGAAAUUUUUCAUAAAGCAUCAUUUAUUCAACAAACUUCCUGUUGUUGGAAAUGUGUGUUGUUUGCAACUUUCGAUGGCCAGAUAACAAGGUUGCAGGGCCAGGGAGCUGGCUCAGGGGCUUGCUGCAAAGACACCACCCGGGUGCAAUCUCUGAGGCCCACUGGUGACUGCUGUAAGUUGCUGUCUGAUUUCCAGGUGCACACUUGGAGGCCUGCAGGAGCAGACACAAUAAACAAGCAUGAACACAUAAGUAAAUGUCAUUUUAAAAUGGGAGAUUACAGCAAAUGGCUCAGAAUAAUGGUUAAAUGUUUUGCUCAUCUGUUCCUUUUUCCAGGAUAAAUUCUUAGGAACAGAAUUGAUGGGAAAAAAUAAUGCGAAUAUGUUGCUGUUUUGUUCUGAGACAGCGUCUCCU
Molecule: long non-coding RNA, 1371 nt
Organism: Meriones unguiculatus (Mongolian gerbil)
Lineage: Eukaryota; Metazoa; Chordata; Mammalia; Rodentia; Muridae
Exons: 3
Source: RefSeq, a predicted model, not a curated record